AACGCUGGCGGCGUGCUUAACACAUGCAAGUCGAACGAUGAUGCUGGAGCUUGCUCCAGUUGAUUAGUGGCGAACGGGUGAGUAACACGUGAGCAAUCUGCCCUUGACUCUGGGAUAACUGCGGGAAACUGUAGCUAAUACCGGAUACUUUCACCGGAAGGCAUCUUCUGGUGAUGAAAGAAUUUCGGUCAGGGAUGAGCUCGCGGCCUAUCAGCUUGUUGGUGAGGUAACGGCUCACCAAGGCGACGACGGGUAACCGGCCUGAGAGGGUGACCGGUCACACUGGGACUGAGACACGGCCCAGACUCCUACGGGAGGCAGCAGUGGGGAAUAUUGCACAAUGGGCGCAAGCCUGAUGCAGCAACGCCGCGUGAGGGAUGAAGGCCUUCGGGUUGUAAACCUCUUUUAGCAGGGAAGAAGCGAAAGUGACGGUACCUGCAGAAAAAGCACCGGCUAACUACGUG
This 464-nucleotide ribosomal RNA is filed under the name uncultured bacterium. Its description in RNAcentral is "bacterial SSU rRNA". It matches the Rfam family "Bacterial small subunit ribosomal RNA", at positions 32 to 507 of the family's 1533-position model. The record is from RNAcentral.